UACGUAGGGACCGAGCGUUGUCCGGAUUCAUUGGGCGUAAAGAGCUCGUAGGCGGCCACUCAAGUCGAAUGUGAAACCUCGAGGCUUAACCUCGAGCCUGCAUUCGAUACUGGGCGGCUAGAGUCUGGUAGGGGGAUCUGGAAUUCCUGGUGUAGCGGUGGAAUGCGCAGAUAUCAGGAGGAACACCAAUGGCGAAGGCAGCUCGCUGGAACGGUACUGACGCUGAGGCGCGAAAGCGUGGGGAGCGAACAGG
RNAcentral lists this ribosomal RNA (253 nucleotides) under uncultured bacterium. RNAcentral describes it as "partial 16S ribosomal RNA". It matches the Rfam family "Bacterial small subunit ribosomal RNA", at positions 524 to 776 of the family's 1533-position model. The record is from RNAcentral.